GGGGCCGUAGCUCAGUUGGGAGAGCGCUUCCAUGGCAUGGAAGAGGUCGUGGGUUCGAUUCCCAUCGGCUCCA
This 73-nucleotide transfer RNA is filed under the name Actinomycetes bacterium. RNAcentral's name for it is "tRNA-Ala". It matches the Rfam family "tRNA". From Rfam's summary of the family: Transfer RNA (tRNA) molecules are approximately 80 nucleotides in length. Their secondary structure includes four short double-helical elements and three loops (D, anti-codon, and T loops). RNAcentral also lists the same sequence under 4 other names. The record is from RNAcentral. Lineage: Bacteria; Bacillati; Actinomycetota; Actinomycetes.